GACGAACGCUGGCGGCGUGCUUAACACAUGCAAGUCGAACGGAAAGGCCCUGCUUUUGUGGGGUGCUCGAGUGGCGAACGGGUGAGUAACACGUGAGUAACCUGCCCUUGACUUUGGGAUAACUUCAGGAAACUGGGGCUAAUACCGGAUAGGAGCUCCUGCUGCAUGGUGGGGGUUGGAAAGUUUCGGCGGUUGGGGAUGGACUCGCGGCUGAUCAGCUUGUUGGUGGGGUAGUGGCUUACCAAGGCUUUGACGGGUAGCCGGCCUGAGAGGGUGACCGGCCACAUUGGGACUGAGCUACGGCCCAGACUCCUACGGGAGGCAGCAGUGGGGAAUAUUGCACAAUGGGCGGAAGCCUGAUGCAGCAACGCCGCGUGCGGGAUGACGGCCUUCGGGUUGUAAACCGCUUUCGCCUGUGACGAAGCGUGAGUGACGGUAAUGGGUAAAGAAGCACCGGCUAACUACGUG
Molecule: ribosomal RNA, 468 nt
Filed under: uncultured bacterium
Lineage: Bacteria
Description: partial 16S ribosomal RNA
Rfam family: Bacterial small subunit ribosomal RNA
Source: RNAcentral